AUGAAGGGGAUAAAUGACUUACGGGGUAUUUGCUGUGAAGGAAAACACUGUGUGAGCAGCAACUGGGGCAAACCCUCCUUUGGAGGUGGAACUCGAUUAAGGAUACGACCAAAUGUUACUCCAUCUCCUUCAGUGUAUAGGCUGACUUCUAAAGACAAUGAGGGUUUGGAAAUGUGCCUCAUCACAGAUUACUCCCCCGACAAGCUUAAAUCUGACRUGACUGAAACGAAGACAGAUGUCAUCGUGGAGACGGUAACAUCAGAGGAUAAGCAGGAAUCAAGCUACUUGUCAACGUACUGGGCCAACAGAAAUGAAAUGCAGUGCAGCGCAACGCAUGAGGGCUUUGGAGAGCUAGAAGGCCAAGAUCCUGAACAUGGUGCUAGCACUGUCUGCGUAACAAGAGUGUCCCAGCACUUCAGGACAGAUGAGAAGCUGAACCUGCUGUCGUUCUCCCAGCUGGGCCUGAAAAUAAUUUUCAUGAAAGGAAUCAUUUUUAACGUACUGAUAACAAUGCUUAUGUGGAAAAAAAAAGAAUGAAUGUAACCUGGCAGCACAGACCUGCAGCACCAUAUGCAAGAAGGAACAAAUUUCUCUUUCAACAAAUAUCACUUGCUGC
This is a non-coding RNA of Nothoprocta perdicaria, 616 nucleotides long. NCBI's taxonomy places the organism in Eukaryota, Metazoa, Chordata, Aves, Tinamiformes, Tinamidae. The record is from the annotation of a RefSeq genome assembly.